RNAcentral lists this long non-coding RNA (1420 nucleotides) under Homo sapiens (human). RNAcentral's name for it is "non-protein coding lnc-TRIB1-4:4". The record is from RNAcentral. Lineage: Eukaryota; Metazoa; Chordata; Mammalia; Primates; Hominidae.
GCUUUUCCUUUGCCUUCUGCCAUGAUUGUAAGUUUCCUGAGGCCUUCCCAGCGAUGUGGAACUGAAACCACACAUUCAAAAUAAUGCUAACCUGUCAAGUUAUUGAUCUGCACUGUACAUAUUUCCUGGUCAUAGGCAGCUUCCACACAAGAACAUCUGGAUGCAAAUUAAAGAAUUCAAUUACUCAAGCCUAAGUGAUAGAGGAGACCUCGGCUACUCUGCCUGAGCACAUCACUGCUGGAUCUCAAAAUCUGCAAGAACUUCCUAGGGCUUCAGGAACUUUCAUGUGCAUACCAGUCACCUGGGAAUCUUGUUACGAUGCAUAUUCUUUUUCAGUAAGCCCAAAUUCUGCAAUUCUUAUAAGGUCUUAGGGGACAUGAUGUUUGCUUCUAGUGGUCCAUGGUCUACUCCUGAAGGUCCACCAUGCCCAGCUUCAUCUCCCCACCCUCUGGAAACUCUCCUGUACCCAAGCCACUUGCUCUCUUCUAAAUAGGCAUUGUGUUCCCAUGUUCCCAUGUGUCUGCCUCUUUCAACUUCUCCUCUAAAAAUUCUCCAUGACCCCCAAGCAUAAGCCUCCAGCAGCAAGCUCAAAAAUGCUUUCUACUCUGUUGUGUUGCCCGGCCCACUUCAAGAGUAGAUGCUCAAUUCCUUCUUCCCCUAGUCGUAUUUGCUGCUACUUUUGCAGGCUGCUGGAACACUUUCACUCUGAGGAUUCUGAUGAACACAGUUCUUGCCCUCUUCACUUUUCCAAUCUGGUUGCAGGCACAGCGGGGGACAGCAGGAGUGCAACACAGUAACUUAAUAUAAUAUGGAGCUGCUAUUAUGGAGGGAAACAUUCACUGCUCUGAAAGGACUCAACAGCUGAGUCUUAAAGAAGGAUUUUACAAGAUUGACAAAGAAAUGGGUUAUCUCCAGAUAGGAAGGAAAAAUCACAAGGAAUAGUACAGCAAGGAAAGAGGAAACAGCACUGGACUUGGGGAAAAGGGAAAUCCUUGAGAUGUUGCUAAGGCAUAAAGAGCAAGACAGAGAGUGUCAGAAGAUGACACUGACGUCACCUGACUCCUGCUGCUGAGCUUCUCUGACAUUUUCUCAAGGGCUCAAGGCUUGGAUACCCUCUGAUAUGGUUUAUCUGUGUCCCCGCCCAAAUCUCACCUUGGUUUGUAAUCAUCUCCAUGUGUCAAGAAUGGGACCAGGUGGAGAUAAUUGAAUCAUGGGGGCAGUUUCCCACAUACUGUUCACAUGGUAGUAAAUAAGUCUCAUGAGCUCUGAUGGUUUUAUAAAUGGGAGUUCCCCUGCACAGGCUCUUUUUGCCUGCCACCAUGGAAGACACCCCUUUGCCCUUCCUUUAUUUUCUGCCACAAUUGUGAGGCCUCCCUAGCUAUGUGGAAUUGUGAGUGCAUUAAACCUCUUUCCUUUACAA